RNAcentral lists this transfer RNA (72 nucleotides) under Camelus bactrianus (Bactrian camel). It matches the Rfam family "tRNA". Rfam says of the family: Transfer RNA (tRNA) molecules are approximately 80 nucleotides in length. Their secondary structure includes four short double-helical elements and three loops (D, anti-codon, and T loops). RNAcentral also lists the same sequence under 2 other names. Lineage: Eukaryota; Metazoa; Chordata; Mammalia; Artiodactyla; Camelidae. The record is from Rfam by way of RNAcentral.
GUGGGUAUAGCUCAGUGGUAAAACGCGUGCUUAGCAUGCAUGGGGUCCUGGGUCCAAUCCCCAGUGCCUCCA